RNAcentral lists this long non-coding RNA (1216 nucleotides) under Octopus vulgaris (common octopus). The record is from RNAcentral. Lineage: Eukaryota; Metazoa; Mollusca; Cephalopoda; Octopoda; Octopodidae.
CCCACUUCUCUCCACCCUAACCGCCACCACCACCACCACCCAAUCACCCCCCCAACCUCCACCAACAGAAUUCUUGUAGAACUCUCACUCUCUCUCGAGUGUCUCUCCGCAUCCGAGCGAAUGGCGUUGCUGUUAGGGAGGACGCUUGUGUCGGAUGAGGACAGGGAUGCUGAGAUGAGAUGGAAGCUUGAAAGGAGGCCAUCAACAGGUCCCCACAGCAUGGAAUGCCCUACACAACUUGGUCAAAUGGCUACUUUAUUUCGAUGUCUCUGACACGACUUUUGGAUAUAUAUAUACAUACAUACAUAUAUAAAAAUAUAUAUAUAUACAUAUAUAUAUAUACAUAUAAUCACACACCCACCUUCAACAGAACACACUCACAUAUAUAUGUAUACAUACAUGCCUACCUGUAUUUAUAUAUAUAUAUCAACAUACACACACACAUAUACAUACAUAUACAUGUCUAUAUAUUUACAUACAUGCAAACACAAAAACAUACCUAUAUACCGAAAAACUUACAUGCACACAGGCAUAUCGAGACAUACAAUACAUGUAUAUAUAUGGAUAUAUAUACACAUGUUAUUAUACAUCAUAGACACUUACACAUAUACACACGUGGCAAAGAGACCCCAGAAAUUUCAGACAGACAUACAGCCAAUUCAGUGACAUAAAUACACACUAAUUACUACACACACACACAUAUAUAUAUAUAUACACACUUACAGAAAUAUUCCUAAGCCCUCCCACACAACUUUUUAUAUAUAUAUACAUAUAUAUAUAAAUAUAAUAUUAUAUAAUAUAUAUAUAUAUAUAUAUAAAUAUCUGCGGUGUGAGUGUUAUCAUUUAUACAUAUAUAUCUAUCUUUCCAUAUAUACAUAUAUAUAAACAUAUAUAUAUAUAUAUAUAUAUAGACAUAGAUAUAUAUAAAUAUAUAUAUAUAUAUACACAUACAUAUAUAUGUAUAUGUAUGCGUAUGUAUAACUCUGCAACAGAAUCUUAACACAGACCACGCACAAAUACAUACAUAAUACAUAGGCACACACAAACACACACGCGCAUCUGUAUGUAUGUAUAUACAUAUAUUUAUAGAUAUAUAUACACUCACUCACUUACUACGGAGAGGUAACAGCAGUAAUAAAAGGGUUUUUUAGUUGUUUGAUGUUCAUGGAGCUUUUAAACAAUGAGGAAGAUAUUGGAGCUGUCUUGAAUAACCAGG